RNAcentral lists this ribosomal RNA (492 nucleotides) under uncultured bacterium. RNAcentral's name for it is "partial 16S ribosomal RNA". It matches the Rfam family "Bacterial small subunit ribosomal RNA", at positions 29 to 507 of the family's 1533-position model. The record is from RNAcentral.
AGUGAACGCUGGCGGUAGGCCUAACACAUGCAAGUCGAACGGCAGCACAGUAAGAGCUUGCUCUUACGGGUGGCGAGUGGCGGACGGGUGAGGAAUACAUCGGAAUCUACUUUUUCGUGGGGGAUAACGUAGGGAAACUUACGCUAAUACCGCAUACGACCUACGGGUGAAAGCAGGGGAUCUUCGGACCUUGCGCGAUUGAAUGAGCCGAUGUCGGAUUAGCUAGUUGGCGGGGUAAAGGCCCACCAAGGCGACGAUCCGUGGCUGGUCUGAGAGGAGGGUCGGCCACACUGGAACGUAGACACGGUCCAGACUCCUACGGGAGGCAGCAGUGGGGAAUAUUAGACAAUGGGCGCAAGCCUGAUACAGCCAUACCGCGUGGGUGAAGAAGGCCUUCGGGUUGUAAAGCCCUUUUGUUGGGAAAGAAAAGCAGCAGGUUAAUACCCCGCUGUUCUGACGGUACCCAAAGAAUAAGCACCGGCUAACUUCGUG